Corythoichthys intestinalis (scribbled pipefish) is the source of this 2049-nucleotide long non-coding RNA. RefSeq lists it as uncharacterized. The record is from RefSeq and is a predicted model, not a curated record. The transcript is spliced from 3 exons. Lineage: Eukaryota; Metazoa; Chordata; Actinopteri; Syngnathiformes; Syngnathidae.
GCAAGCGAGUCAACAUCGCACAGCCAAUCACGAGAUUAGCGCCAAGCAAGUCAAAGUCUGCGCAGCCAAUAACGAGCGUGGUCAGUUUGCGGAAGAGGAUAGCUUAGCUGUUCAUCGUUGUCGACUAUCACUGUCUUUUGUCUUUUACCAUCGCCCUCCACCAACAUCCCCGACGGACAGUUUAGAUUAGGACGUCAGUCGCUAAUGCAGUUGUAUAUGUGCAUUGUAUGUGAAUCUAAUGCCUUCGUGAUGCAUAUGUAACCAGUGUGUCAGCGCCGCCCCGCGUUCCGCUAGGUAGGGAUGCCAACCACUGCGCCAUAAAGGUCGAGCCAACGACAGAGUUGCCAGCUUCUCUACAUGAAGGAAUCGGGAGGGAGGUUUCCACGCUCCACAACGGACCUGCGUGUACCCGUUACACAUAUACAAUGUUGAUGUUGCAUGAUCUGUAUUAUUUGCUUUGUUAAAUUAGUAUUGUGGACUAUGAGUAUUGGAGACUGUGAUAUAUAUCAUUGACGGUAGUUUCCCAUGACGGCCGCUAGAUGACAUCAUUCGUCCAUUUGUUGUAGGCCAAUUCAAUCAUAAUAUGCCUGUGAGUCAAUGUCUGCAUUUGACUGUAUUUUCCUGAUUAAACUGAAAUUUAUGAUAUUAAUUUAGCUUAUUCCUUUUUAUUGUAUUGUUUACAGACCGAUUUAAUACCUUAUGCCCUGUGGAGUUACAAUUCCUCAUUUUUGUACAUCAAGGAAGAUUUGGAUGAUUAUGCAAAAUUAAAGCCAUUUGAAUUCAGCAGUGGAUGCAUGUCACCUUUCUACCUGUGCUCAGUUCGGCACACCAUCAUGUUUAAAAUAAGUCCUUACAACGAACUAGCCCUUUAACGUCACCUCAAGAACCGUAACAAUUGGCGCAUUUUACUUGAAUUCUCCUUCCCUUUAAAUCACUCCAAAAUCUCAUCUGUGCCAAUCUGCUUUCAAUGUAUUGAUACUUUAUUAUUCUCACUGUUGUCUUCUACUUUUAUGAAUGUGAUUCUUAUACACAAAUUUACCUUCUAAUUCUAUGCUUGUUUUAUUUUUAUAUUGUAUUGUUAUUUUUGUGAUGUGUUUCCAUCCUUCUUUUAAAGUAUCAUUGCGCUUCAUGAGAACCACUACAUAAAAUCGUUAUUAUUAAAUACAUAACUUUUGAGUAGGUGGACAAAUAGUUAAACCCAGUUUAUAACGGUGGAUUGAUCAAUUAAUUAAUUUACACGAAUUGCAUUUUUAUUAAGAUUAUUAAUCUAUCCAUAUUUGUUGUGUAUGGUUAACUUUUUUGUGUAUGUGUAAUUACAAUCAAAGUUUUCUCAUGUUGUCACUUUUCACUGGCUUAUAUAUCACCGUAGCCCUCCAUUUCUUCCUCCAGGAGGCCACCUCUGACAGUGGUGUCUCCCACAGCUCUGUUCGCUGUGAAUAGAUCAUUGGAUAGCAUGGACUCAAGUGGGCUUCGGACAUCGACCCUGCAUAAUCGCUAAUUGGGAGACAGUGGAUGAUCUAGCGGCGUUUGUUGGCCUGAUCUGAACUGUCACAGCAUUGUCAGCACAUGAAAUCGCCCAGAUAUUGAAUCUGUACUCCCGCCUGCGUCCAUCUGACGAGGCUUCUCCAAAAUAUUCAUUAAAAUAAAAAAAGAAAACCUUGCCUGGGUCCCGGAGAACGUCGCGCAAGUCUGCCGGUUCUGUGCCUGGUCAGCAAGCGGCUGAAAGACUCUUCCACUCUUGAAGACCAAGGAGCGUGAGGCAAGAGGGGAAGCCCCCCAAAAAGGCGAUAUAAAUAAAAUCAUCAAUGCCAGUGCCAAAAAUGUGGAAAGGCAAAAAAUUGCUCCACUUGUCAUAGCCAAACAAAAGGGAAAUGGUAUUGUUCUGAUUCUGGCCAAACCAUAGAGGAGUGGAGAAACACGCUCUAAAGUGCUUACCUUUGUAAAUAUGAUUUGGAAACAUUAUUCCCAUUUUUUCAAAACUAAAUAUUGUUAUUUUUGCUUGUGUGUAAUUGCCACUUUUUUUUCUUACAUUUUAAAUAUUUGUUUGAA